Molecule: ribosomal RNA, 287 nt
Filed under: uncultured bacterium
Lineage: Bacteria
Description: partial 16S ribosomal RNA
Rfam family: Bacterial small subunit ribosomal RNA
Source: RNAcentral
CCGGGUAACCCGGGGCGGACGCGGGCCUAGUGGCGGACGGGUGAGUAACGCGUGGGCAAUCUGCCCCGUACCGGGGGAUAACACCUGGAAACAGGUGCUAACACCGCAUGACAGGCGGGGGCGCAUGCCCCGGCCUUGAAAACUCCGGUGGUACGGGAUGAGCCCGCGUCCGAUUAGCCAGUUGGCGGGGUAACGGCCCACCAAAGCGACGAUCGGUAGCCGGCCUGAGAGGGUGGACGGCCACAUUGGGACUGAGACACGGCCCAAACUCCUACGGAAGGCAGCAG